AGUUGUUGCGGUUAAAAAGCUCGUAGUCGAAUCUGUGUCCCGCGCCGCCGGUUCAUCGUCCGCGGUGUUAACUGGCGUGCCGCGGGACGUCCUGCCGGUGGGCUUAGCUCGCAAGGGCGGCCCAACUCAAUCCCGCCGCGGUGCUCUUCACUGAGUGUCGAGGUGGGCCGGCACGUUUACUUUGAACAAAUUAGAGUGCUUAAAGCAGGCUAAAACUUCGCCUGAAUACUGUGUGCAUGGAAUAAUGGAAUAGGACCUCGGUUCUAUUUUGUUGGUUUUCGGAACCCCGAGGUAAUGAUUAAUAGGAACGGAUGGGGGCAUUCGUAUUGCG
Molecule: ribosomal RNA, 331 nt
Filed under: Desmocerus californicus dimorphus
Lineage: Eukaryota; Metazoa; Arthropoda; Insecta; Coleoptera; Cerambycidae
Description: SSU rRNA
Rfam family: Eukaryotic small subunit ribosomal RNA
Source: RNAcentral